RNAcentral lists this ribosomal RNA (426 nucleotides) under uncultured prokaryote. Its description in RNAcentral is "bacterial SSU rRNA". It matches the Rfam family "Bacterial small subunit ribosomal RNA", at positions 355 to 796 of the family's 1533-position model. The record is from RNAcentral.
UGGGGAACUUUCCGCAAUGGGCGAAAGCCUGACGGAGCAAUACCGCGUGAGGGAGGAAGGCUUUUGGGUUGUAAACCUCUUUUCUUAGGGAAGAAGAGCUGACGGUACCUAAGGAAUCAGCAUCGGCUAACUCCGUGCCAGCAGCCGCGGUAAUACGUAGGGGGCGAGCGUUGUCCGGAAUUAUUGGGCGUAAAGAGCGUGUAGGCGGCCUGGUAAGUCUGCCGUGAAAACUCGGGGCUCAACCCUGAGCGUGCGGUGGAUACUGCCAGGCUAGAGGAUGGUAGAGGCGAGUGGAAUUCCCGGUGUAGCGGUGAAAUGCGCAGAUAUCGGGAGGAACACCAGUAGCGAAGGCGGCUCGCUGGGCCAUUCCUGACGCUGAGACGCGAAAGCGUGGGGAGCAAACAGGAUUAGAUACCCGCGUAGUCC